RNAcentral lists this ribosomal RNA (394 nucleotides) under uncultured bacterium. Its description in RNAcentral is "bacterial SSU rRNA". It matches the Rfam family "Bacterial small subunit ribosomal RNA", at positions 32 to 407 of the family's 1533-position model. The record is from RNAcentral.
AUUCAACGCUGGCGGCGUGCCUAACACAUGCAAGUCGAACGCGAAAGCCCGUUUCGGGGGUCAGUAGAGUGGCGUCCGGGUGAGUAACACGUAGGUAAUCUACCUCUGGGUGGGGAAUAACUCGUCGAAAGGCGAGCUAAUACCGCAUAAUGCAGCGGCACCGAAUGGUGAUUAGUUGUUAAAGCGGGGGACCGAAAGGCCUCGCGCCUAGAGAGGAGCCUGCGGCAGAUUAGGCUUGNGGUGAGGUAAUGGCUCACCAAGGCUUCGAUCUGUAGCUGGUCUGAGAGGACGGCCAGCCACACUGGCACUGACACACGGCCAGACUCCUACGGGAGGCAGCAGUGGGAAUUUUGGGCAAUGGGCGAAAGCCUGACCCAGCAACGCCGCGUGAGUG